Molecule: ribosomal RNA, 411 nt
Filed under: uncultured bacterium
Lineage: Bacteria
Description: bacterial SSU rRNA
Rfam family: Bacterial small subunit ribosomal RNA
Source: RNAcentral
GUGCAGCCGCCGCGGUAAUACGUAGGGAGCGAGCGUUGUCCGGAAUUACUGGGUGUAAAGGGUGCGUAGGCGGGACUGCAAGUCAGGCGUGAAAUACCGGGGCUCAACUCCGGGGCUGCGCUUGAAACUGUAGUUCUUGAGUGAAGUAGAGGCAGGCGGAAUUCCUAGUGUAGCGGUGAAAUGCGUAGAUAUUAGGAGGAACACCAGUGGCGAAGGCGGCCUGUUGGGCUUUAACUGACGCUGAGGCACGAAAGCGUGGGGAGCAAACAGGAUUAGAUACCCUGGUAGUCCAUGCCGUAAACGAUGAUAGCUAGGUGUGGGAGGACUGACCCCUUCCGUGCCGGAGUUAACACAAUAAGCUAUCCACCUGGGAAGUACGACCGCAAGGUUAAAACUUAAAUGAAUUGACGG